RNAcentral lists this ribosomal RNA (1197 nucleotides) under Pediococcus pentosaceus. RNAcentral's name for it is "bacterial SSU rRNA". It matches the Rfam family "Bacterial small subunit ribosomal RNA", at positions 266 to 1459 of the family's 1533-position model. Lineage: Bacteria; Bacillati; Bacillota; Bacilli; Lactobacillales; Lactobacillaceae. The record is from RNAcentral.
CCCCAGGCCAUGGAUACGUACCCGCCCUGAGAGGUUAUUGGCCCCAUUGGGACUGAGACCCGGCCCAGAUUCCUACGGGAGGCAGCAGUAGGGAUCUUCCCCAAUGGACGCAAGUCUGAUGGAGCAACGCCGCGUGAGUGAAGAAGGGUUUCGGCUCGUAAAGCUCUGUUGUUAAAGAAGAACGUGGGUAAGAGUAACUGUUUACCCAGUGACGGUAUUUAACCAGAAAGCCACGGCUAACUACGUGCCAGCAGCCGCGGUAAUACGUAGGUGGCAAGCGUUAUCCGGAUUUAUUGGGCGUAAAGCGAGCGCAGGCGGUCUUUUAAGUCUAAUGUGAAAGCCUUGGCUCAACCGAAGAAGUGCAUUGGAAACUGGGAGACUUGAGUGCAGAAGAGGACAGUGGAACUCCAUGUGUAGCGGUGAAAUGCGUAGAUAUAUGGAAGAACACCAGUGGCGAAGGCGGCUGUCUGGUCUGCAACUGACGCUGAGGCUCGAAAGCAUGGGUAGCGAACAGGAUUAGAUACCCUGGUAGUCCAUGCCGUAAACGAUGAUUACUAAGUGUUGGAGGGUUUCCGCCCUUCAGUGCUGCAGCUAACGCAUUAAGUAAUCCGCCUGGGGAGUACGACCGCAAGGUUGAAACUCAAAAGAAUUGACGGGGGCCCGCACAAGCGGUGGAGCAUGUGGUUUAAUUCGAAGCUACGCGAAGAACCUUACCAGGUCUUGACAUCUUCUGACAGUCUAAGAGAUUAGAGGUUCCCUUCGGGGACAGAAUGACAGGUGGUGCAUGGUUGUCGUCAGCUCGUGUCGUGAGAUGUUGGGUUAAGUCCCGCAACGAGCGCAACCCUUAUUACUAGUUGCCAGCAUUAAGUUGGGCACUCUAGUGAGACUGCCGGUGACAAACCGGAGGAAGGUGGGGACGACGUCAAAUCAUCAUGCCCCUUAUGACCUGGGCUACACACGUGCUACAAUGGAUGGUACAACGAGUCGCGAGACCGCGAGGUUAAGCUAAUCUCUUAAAACCAUUCUCAGUUCGGACUGUAGGCUGCAACUCGCCUACACGAAGUCGGAAUCGCUAGUAAUCGCGGAUCAGCAUGCCGCGGUGAAUACGUUCCCGGGCCUUGUACACACCGCCCGUCACACCAUGAGAGUUUGUAACACCCAAAGCCGGUGGGGUAACCUUUAGGAGCUAGCCGUCUA